CGCCAGAAGGAAACAGUCCUGUGUGCUCUUCCAGUUUGGCUUCAUAGAUAGUCCUGCUACUUUUAGCACAGAUGUAAUGAGCACAUGUAGCCCAUAGAGGAACCCUCUGUAACAAUAUUAUUCUCGUUGCUGCUUUAUCAUAGAGGCCCAAGCACUAUUCUUAGCCCUGUACACCAGCGGGAAUGCAGAUAUUGCCACAUACAAUAGUCGUGUAAAGGAGCGGUAGGCAGAUUUGGCUGAAUCUGACCCAGUGGAGCAAUGAGGAACCUCACGGUUUUACAGCUGAAAAUGAUGAUAGCCCUAUCAAAGACUAAAUGGUACAACAUCACAAGCUUGAAGGACACACCUGGGAAUAGUUGCUUGGUGGGAGCACUGAAGUGCGUUCUGUUUUCCAGCCGGUAAGCGAUAUCCGUCUCCUCAACCCCCUGUCGCUGUGUGCAAAGUCCUGAUGCAAGCGUUACUCCUCUGUUGCCUUCACGGAGUUCAAGAGCUUUUAGAAUAUCCACAUGGGAAGCUAAGAAGAGAACAAGACAGAGGGUCAGCAAAGCAGAGAAAAUGGGCACUACCAUCAAAUAACAGUCGUUGUAUUAGUAACCCUAUUUCAAGCUUCGUCCAUGUUGUUAUUUUCUACCACAUUAAAGAUUAAUCAUGUAAU
Long non-coding RNA from Xenopus tropicalis (tropical clawed frog), 655 nucleotides. RefSeq lists it as uncharacterized. Lineage: Eukaryota; Metazoa; Chordata; Amphibia; Anura; Pipidae. The record is from RefSeq and is a predicted model, not a curated record. The transcript has 2 exons.